GAUGAACGCUAGCGGCAGGCUUAACACAUGCAAGUCGAGGGGUAUAGUUCUUUGGAACUAGAGACCGGCGCACGGGUGCGUAACGCGUAUGCAAUCUACCUUUCACAGAGGGAUAGCCCAGAGAAAUUUGGAUUAAUACCUCAUAGUAUUAUAGAGUGGCAUCACUUUAUAAUUAAAGUCACAACGGUGAAAGAUGAGCAUGCGUCCCAUUAGCUAGUUGGUAAGGUAACGGCUUACCAAGGCGACGAUGGGUAGGGGUCCUGAGAGGGAGAUCCCCCACACUGGUACUGAGACACGGACCAGACUCCUACGGGAGGCAGCAGUGAGGAAUAUUGGACAAUGGGCGCAAGCCUGAUCCAGCCAUGCCGCGUGCAGGAAGAAGCAUCUAUGGUGUGUAAACUGCUUUUAUACAGGAAGAAACAUCUCUACGUGUAGAGACUUGACGGUACUGUAAGAAUAAGGACCGGCUAACUCCGUGCCAGCAGCCGCGGUAAUACGGAGGGUCCAAGCGUUAUCCGGAAUCAUUGGGUUUAAAGGGUCCGUAGGCGGUUUAAUAAGUCAGUGGUGAAAUCUGGUCGCUCAACGAUCAAACGGCCAUUGAUACUGUUAGACUUGAAUUAUUAGGAAGUAACUAGAAUAUGUAGUGUAGCGGUGAAAUGCUUAGAUAUUACAUGGAAUACCAAUUGCGAAGGCAGGUUACUACUAAUUGAUUGACGCCGAUGGACGAAAGCGUGGGGAGCGAACAGGAUUAGAUACCCUGGUAGUCCACGCCGUAAACGAUGGAUACUAGCUGUUGGGCGCAAGUUCAGUGGCUAAGCGAAAGUGAUAAGUAUCCCACCUGGGGAGUACGUUCGCAAGAAUG
RNAcentral lists this ribosomal RNA (862 nucleotides) under uncultured bacterium. RNAcentral's name for it is "bacterial SSU rRNA". It matches the Rfam family "Bacterial small subunit ribosomal RNA", at positions 28 to 896 of the family's 1533-position model. The record is from RNAcentral.